This 501-nucleotide ribosomal RNA is filed under the name uncultured bacterium. RNAcentral describes it as "partial 16S ribosomal RNA". It matches the Rfam family "Bacterial small subunit ribosomal RNA", at positions 29 to 523 of the family's 1533-position model. The record is from RNAcentral.
AUUGAACGCUGGCGGCAUGCCUUACACAUGCAAGUCGAACGGCAGCCCGGGUGCUUGCACCUGGUGGCGAGUGGCGAACGGGUGAGUAAUACAUCGGAACGUACCUUAUCGUGGGGGAUAACGCAGCGAAAGCUGUGCUAAUACCGCAUACGCCCUGAGGGGGAAAGCGGGGGAUCGAAAGACCUCGCGCGAUUAGAGCGGCCGAUGCCUGAUUAGCUUGUUGGUGGGGUAAAAGCCCACCAAGGCGACGAUCAGUAGCUGGUCUGAGAGGACGAACAGGCACACUGGAAGGAAGACACGGCCCAGACUCCGACGGGAGGCAGCAGUGGGGAAUUUUGGACAAUGGGGGCAACCCUGAUCCAGCAAUGCCGCGUGAGUGAAGAAGGCCUUCGGGUUGUAAAGCUCUUUUGUCAGGGAAGAAACACCGGCUCUAACACAGUCCGGGAAUGACGGUACCUGAAGAAUAAGCACCGGCUAACUACGUGCCAGCCGCCGCCGUAA